Molecule: transfer RNA, 73 nt
Filed under: Candidatus Omnitrophota bacterium
Lineage: Bacteria; Pseudomonadati; Candidatus Omnitrophota
Description: tRNA-Arg
Rfam family: tRNA
About the family: Transfer RNA (tRNA) molecules are approximately 80 nucleotides in length. Their secondary structure includes four short double-helical elements and three loops (D, anti-codon, and T loops). Further hydrogen bonds mediate the characteristic L-shaped molecular structure. tRNAs have two regions of fundamental functional importance: the anti-codon, which is responsible for specific mRNA codon recognition, and the 3' end, to which the tRNAs corresponding amino acid is attached (by aminoacyl-tRNA synthetases). tRNAs cope with the degeneracy of the genetic code in two manners: having more than one tRNA (with a specific anti-codon) for a particular amino acid; and 'wobble' base-pairing, i.e. permitting non-standard base-pairing at the 3rd anti-codon position.
Source: RNAcentral
GCGCCUGUAGCUCAACUGGAUAGAGCGCGGCUCUCCUAAGGCCGGCGAGAUGGUUCGAGUCCAUCCAGGCGCA